This 1364-nucleotide ribosomal RNA is filed under the name Brevibacterium sp. Its description in RNAcentral is "bacterial SSU rRNA". It matches the Rfam family "Bacterial small subunit ribosomal RNA", at positions 41 to 1411 of the family's 1533-position model. The record is from RNAcentral. Lineage: Bacteria; Bacillati; Actinomycetota; Actinomycetes; Micrococcales; Brevibacteriaceae.
UGCGUGCUUAACACAUGCAAGUCGAACGCUGAAGCCUGGUGCUUGCACCGGGUGGAUGAGUGGCGAACGGGUGAGUAACACGUGAGUAACCUGCCCCUGACUUCGGGAUAAGCCCGGGAAACUGGGUCUAAUACCGGAUACGACUGCCGGACGCAUGUCUGGUGGUGGAAAGUUUUUUCGGUUGGGGAUGGGCUCGCGGCCUAUCAGUUUGUUGGUGAGGUAAUGGCUCACCAAGACGACGACGGGUAGCCGGCCUGAGAGGGCGACCGGCCACACUGGGACUGAGACACGGCCCAGACUCCUACGGGAGGCAGCAGUGGGGAAUAUUGCACAAUGGGGGAAACCCUGAUGCAGCGACGCAGCGUGCGGGAUGACGGCCUUCGGGUUGUAAACCGCUUUCAGCAGGGAAGAAGCGCAAGUGACGGUACCUGCAGAAGAAGUACCGGCUAACUACGUGCCAGCAGCCGCGGUAAUACGUAGGGUACGAGCGUUGUCCGGAAUUAUUGGGCGUAAAGAGCUCGUAGGUGGUUGGUCACGUCUGCUGUGGAAACGCAACGCUUAACGUUGCGCGUGCAGUGGGUACGGGCUGACUAGAGUGCAGUAGGGGAGUCUGGAAUUCCUGGUGUAGCGGUGAAAUGCGCAGAUAUCAGGAGGAACACCGGUGGCGAAGGCGGGACUCUGGGCUGUAACUGACACUGAGGAGCGAAAGCAUGGGGAGCGAACAGGAUUAGAUACCCUGGUAGUCCAUGCCGUAAACGUUGGGCACUAGGUGUGGGGGGCAUUCCACGUUCUCCGCGCCGUAGCUAACGCAUUAAGUGCCCCGCCUGGGGAGUACGGUCGCAAGGCUAAAACUCAAAGGAAUUGACGGGGGCCCGCACAAGCGGCGGAGCAUGCGGAUUAAUUCGAUGCAACGCGAAGAACCUUACCAAGGCUUGACAUACACCGGACCGUCCUGGAAACAGGUCCUCUUCUUUGAAGCUGGUGUACAGGUGGUGCAUGGUUGUCGUCAGCUCGUGUCGUGAGAUGUUGGGUUAAGUCCCGCAACGAGCGCAACCCUCGUUCUAUGUUGCCAGCACGUGAUGGUGGGAACUCAUAGGAGACUGCCGGGGUCAACUCGGAGGAAGGUGGGGAUGACGUCAAAUCAUCAUGCCCUUUAUGUCUUGGGCUUCACGCAUGCUACAAUGGCUGGUACAGAGAGAGGCGAACCCGUGAGGGCAAGCGAAUCCCUUAAAGCCAGUCUCAGUUCGGAUCGUAGUCUGCAAUUCGACUACGUGAAGUCGGAGUCGCUAGUAAUCGCAGAUCAGCAACGCUGCGGUGAAUACGUUCCCGGGCCUUGUACACACCGCCCGUCAAGUCACGAAAGU